UUCAAGGCAGUUUAUUGACUGAGAGGGUUGCGAUCACGAGUGACUUCAACAAGUUUGUCGGUGUAGCGAGAAGCGUAUGUAGAUACUUGCUUGGUGGACAUGAAAAAUUCUCUCCGACUCAGAUGAUUAACACUGCUAGAACAAGUUUUGUGUGAGAGACUCGUGUUGUCGGAAAUACCCGCCCCAUCACGAUGCGUCGUUUUCAAAAAUUGCAAUGAAAGUGUGUAAAGCACAUAGAAAGUUCGUCAUCAAUGCAACAUCAUUGAUUUCGCAUAGUACAGGUUUAUGUUAUGGGCGUAUACGAUCGUGUAUGUGUAUUGUGAUAUCUAUAUCUGAUAAAUAUUAAAAAAAAUCAAAGGAAAUAAAGUAUAUAAAAGUCAUGACAUUUUUAGAAAACAUUAAAUAAAAUUUCAAAGAUAAAAUCUUUUCAACAGAUGAUACAACCGGUCAAUACAACCGCGAUGUGUAUUUUUCACAUUCUGUUGUUGUUAUUCGUAUCGUGAAAUAAUACUUAACACUAAAUUCAAACUUGUUGCCUUCUAAAUGGCAACAAGUUUGCGAACAAAACGCAAAAAGCAUAUUUGACUUA
Long non-coding RNA from Toxorhynchites rutilus septentrionalis, 589 nucleotides. RefSeq lists it as uncharacterized. Lineage: Eukaryota; Metazoa; Arthropoda; Insecta; Diptera; Culicidae. The record is from RefSeq and is a predicted model, not a curated record. The transcript is spliced from 3 exons.